Molecule: RNase P RNA, 340 nt
Filed under: pig gut metagenome
Description: Bacterial RNase P class A
Rfam family: Bacterial RNase P class A
About the family: Ribonuclease P (RNase P) is a ubiquitous endoribonuclease, found in archaea, bacteria and eukarya as well as chloroplasts and mitochondria. Its best characterised activity is the generation of mature 5'-ends of tRNAs by cleaving the 5'-leader elements of precursor-tRNAs.
Source: RNAcentral
AGUAGAUCAGACGGUCGCGGGGACAAAGGCGAAAGCCUGUCCAUGAGGAAAGUCCGGGCUCCACAGGGCAAGGAUAACGGGUAACACCCGCCGAAGGCGACUUCAGGAAAAGUGCAACAGAGAUAUACCGCCUCAAUUUGAGGUAAGGGUGGAAAGGCGAGGUAAGAGCUCACCCGACGGCGUGCAAAAGCGUCCGUCGCUGUAAACUCUAUCCGGAGCAACACCGGAGUGGGAGCAUAAGGCUUGCCCGGCCGCUCCCGAGGUGGCUGGAGCGUGCCGGUAACGGUACGCGUAGAUAGAUGACCGUAUGAUAACAGAACCCGGCUUACAGAUCUGCUCA